This is a long non-coding RNA of Rhopalosiphum maidis (corn leaf aphid), 1846 nucleotides long. RefSeq lists it as uncharacterized. The transcript has 3 exons. Lineage: Eukaryota; Metazoa; Arthropoda; Insecta; Hemiptera; Aphididae. The record is from RefSeq and is a predicted model, not a curated record.
AUUUUUUUAUAUUAAGUCGUUUGUUUGUUUAGCUGGUUAGUAACUACCAUUCGGAUGAGAACACAUAAGACAAAACGUCACCACUUUGCUUCUGCAGUGGUGUAGCUCUCUUUGCCUUUGCCGCCAUAUUUGAACAGCACUAUCUGUGCGCGUUCGGUCGCUGAGCAUUACGUCAGCGACGAUCACAGUGCCGCCUCACCGGAAGGAUCAAAUUGUCACACUACUCGUCGGUGGUCGGUUUUCUCGCUGACGACGUUCCGUGCUUCGGAGAAACGAUUUCGAUCCACAACACAUACUACUACAAUAAUCCCUACCAACGUCGUAACUGGUGGACGAAAACGCGGUCGGUUCGUCAUCGCCGUCCACCGGUAACCAGUGCAGGCAACUGGAUGCGCCGAUUUCGACUACACUGUAAAAAGUGGUGAUACGAACAUUUUUUUUAACCUUUCAUUAUUUACGUGAACUUUUUCGCUUUACUUAUAUUUUUUUCCUGAAAAAAAAUGGUGUAUCUCGUUAGGCGUUAGUGAAUCGUGUUUUGAUUGUUAUUAUUAUUUUUUUUGUUUUCGUUUGCUUGUUCUCUAAGUAUAAUAGUUGCACCUUGUCUGCCGACGAUUCUACCGACGUCCGGUGAAUCGCGUACGUUUCAAUUUGGUUUUUCCGAAACGGAUAAAACGAUACGCCCGUCCAUUGUUUGUGCAACCGCUCCGAGACGAGUCGUCUGUUUCGUCAACAAACGCUUAACAGUCUGAUGGAUAAUAUUUGUUUUUUCACUGAACAACGCCUGAAGAAUUAAGAAAUGCCACACAAGUGAUUGGCUUUUAUCAAUGUUGUGUUCCAUUAGGUACCUACGUUCAGUUUGUUUAGUAGAGUAUAAAAAUGUAUGAUUAUUGGUCAUUGAAGAACAAUAUGCAAUGUUAUUCUGAACAUCUAUUUCAAUCGGAUUAUUACAAAUUGGAUAUUACAUACUAUAUUAGUCAGUGCAAUUAAUAAUAAUGUUUAAAACAAAUUAUACCAUAUUGAAGGGAAACAAAUGUUUCAGAGUAAAUGCCUUACUAUUCAGUCAAACUUCUGUGCGCACUAAGACAGAGUACUAUAUGGCUACUUAUUAUAGGCUACUUCCUACUGGUGGAGGCAUUUAUUAAAGGUAAUUGGUAUAUUAUUCUUUUUAUUUUAUUAGUAUUCUGAGUUAUAUUUUAUUAAUCAAACACUUGAAAGAAUUUGAAGUGUAUAUUUAUUUUUUUAUAGAAAGUUAUUUUCUAUAAUCAAUUAAGUAUACAUUUAAUCUUUAGAUUCUGCUACGACUUUAAAAUUAGACUCUGUCAGUGUUAUUAACAUUUAAUUGGCCUAUAGUAGGUAUACCUAAUAUUAAUUAUGUGUAUACAUGGUUAGUGGUUACCUAUGAAUUAAACCAAAAUUAUUCAAAAAUGUGUAUUUAUUUAAAUAUUGAUGGACAAUAUAUGUUUUUAAAUGGAAUACAUAUUAACUCUAAAAAAUUUUAAAUAUUAAAGAAUUUUUUAUUUAUUAAAAACAAAACAUUGUACAUGAGUAUAAUCUGGUUACUUCUCUAACUAUAGAAAAGUAAUUACCUAUUCUGUGUUCCUCAAUUUAACAGACUAUACUUAAACUGGAAGAAGAAAGUUAAUAAUCAAAUUCACAAUUGGAAAUUAUAUUAAUUUUACUGGUAAAUUCAAAAUUAUCUAUAUUUUAAUGUAAUAAUGUUAUGGUAAGCUCUUUAUGUUUAGAGGUAUAAGGCUAUGCUAUUAUGAUAUUAUUUAUAAAUUAUUUUAAAUGGCAUUCUAUUUUUUUUUUAUUUUUUUUUUUUUUUUAUGUGUGUUCAAAAUGUGGU